Sardina pilchardus (European sardine) is the source of this 236-nucleotide long non-coding RNA. RefSeq lists it as uncharacterized. The record is from RefSeq and is a predicted model, not a curated record. The transcript has 3 exons. Lineage: Eukaryota; Metazoa; Chordata; Actinopteri; Clupeiformes; Clupeidae.
UUCUCCAUGGUUGUGGAUUGGCAUCAGCGUCUCUGUGGGCCUUAUUACAGCUUUUACUGCUUUUGCUCUCUUCAUGUUACGGACAUGGAAAGAUAAGGGAGGAAAUGCAACAGGUUCUGAUAAUGAGGUUGCCCAUCCACCUAAUCAAGCCAAAGCUCAGGCCCUCAUUUACACCUCGGUGUCCUGCCCCUCCCAGCAUGUUUUAUCAAAUAGGGUCAAUCAAACCCCCCAGGAUG